AAUGAACGCUGGCGGCGUGCUUAACACAUGCAAGUCGAACGAGGCUGGGGGGGCGAACUCCUCAGUUAGUGGCGGACGGGUGAGUAACACGUGGGUAACCUGCCCGGAAGUGGGGAAUACCUCGGGGAAACGUACGAGCUAAUACCGCAUAACAUCUUUAGGACGAUGGCCCUGACGAUCAAAGCGGGGUCGCAAGAUCUCGCGCUACCGGAUGGGCCCGCGCCUGAUUAGCUAGUUGGUGGGGUAACGGCUCACCAAGGCUUCGAUCAGUAACCGGCCUGAGAGGGCGAUCGGUCACACCGGAACUGAGACACGGUCCGGACUCCUACGGGAGGCAGCAGUGGGGAAUCUUGCGCAAUGGGCGAAAG
Molecule: ribosomal RNA, 368 nt
Filed under: uncultured bacterium
Lineage: Bacteria
Description: bacterial SSU rRNA
Rfam family: Bacterial small subunit ribosomal RNA
Source: RNAcentral